UACGUAGGGUGCAAGCGUUAUCCGGAAUUAUUGCGCGUAAAGAGCUCGUAGGCGGUUUGUCGCGUCUGCUGUGAAAACUGGAGGCUCAACCUCCAGCCUGCAGUGGGUACGGGCAGACUAGAGUGCGGUAGGGGAGAUUGGAAUUCCUGGUGUAGCGGUGGAAUGCGCAGAUAUCAGGAGGAACACCGAUGGCGAAGGCAGAUCUCUGGGCCGUAACUGACGCUGAGGAGCGAAAGCAUGGGGAGCGAACAGG
RNAcentral lists this ribosomal RNA (253 nucleotides) under uncultured bacterium. RNAcentral's name for it is "partial 16S ribosomal RNA". It matches the Rfam family "Bacterial small subunit ribosomal RNA", at positions 524 to 776 of the family's 1533-position model. The record is from RNAcentral.